UAUGACUAACAGAGCGCACGAGG
This 23-nucleotide microRNA is filed under the name Pristionchus pacificus. Its description in RNAcentral is "ppc-miR-63g". Its record names the gene ppc-miR-63g. Lineage: Eukaryota; Metazoa; Nematoda; Chromadorea; Rhabditida; Neodiplogasteridae. The record is from miRBase by way of RNAcentral.